This 253-nucleotide ribosomal RNA is filed under the name uncultured bacterium. RNAcentral describes it as "partial 16S ribosomal RNA". It matches the Rfam family "Bacterial small subunit ribosomal RNA", at positions 524 to 776 of the family's 1533-position model. The record is from RNAcentral.
UACGUAGGGUGCAAGCGUUAAUCGGAAUUACUGGGCGUAAAGCGUGCGCAGGCGGUUCGCUAAGACAGAUGUGAAAUUCCCGGGCUUAACCUGGGAACUGCAUUUGUGACUGGCGGGCUAGAGUAUGGCAGAGGGGGGUAGAAUUCCACGUGUAGCAGUGAAAUGCGUAGAGAUGUGGAGGAAUACCGAUGGCGAAGGCAGCCCCCUGGGCCAAUACUGACGCUCAUGCACGAAAGCGUGGGGAGCAAACAGG